CCCACUCCUCGACCUCUAGAAAAAAAACUCCUACCCUCGACCAGAUCUGAUCCGGCGCCGGCCGCCCUCCACCCAACCAUUGCCGUCGUCGCGCCCCACCACCACAGCCCUGCCGUCGGCCACCACCCCGACCAACGCCGCUAUCGCCCCAACCACCCCACAACAGCGCCAGCAAGCACCGCCGCCCCCAACCGUCCCACUGCCGUCGGCCGUCCUCAACCCAGCCGCAACCGUCGUCGGCCCCCACCACUACAGCCCCGCCGUUGGCCCCUACCACGCCACCGCCCAUGACUGCCCUCCACCCAACCACUGCGGUCGUCGCCCCGAACCACCCCACAGUAGCACCGCCGAGCACCCAACUGACACAGAUAACCACUGCCGACGAGCCACUCCACCGGCGACCACCCUCCUCCGCUGAACGCCUUCCCUCGUGACCGCCCUAUUUCGCGAGCUUCCUCCCCCGAGUAGGACUCCUCCCUAAGCCGAUGGAGCCAGGAGUUCUUUGAAUGGGAUUGGUGAAUGCAAUAGUGUUGGUGAGGGUUCUGAUUUAAUCCUUUUGAACCUCAAAGAGGCUGUUAGCCUAAAUAAAUCUUUGCUCCAGGUAACCUAACUUCUAUAGCUUUGGUAUUUAGGCUUCUGUUGCAUCAGGGGCAAACAAGUGCUAUCUUGUUUGAGUUUUACUUUCCUAUAUUGCAGAGAGCUUGAUUGUAGGACUAAACAUUUUACAAAGAUUUUCUCCAAACAAAUAAAUAGAAAUAUUACAUGGACGCAUAUUGGCUAUACACACUGGUACAAUUAGACAGGGUUCACUUAAAUAUAACUGUGCUUGUUGAAUUGUAAUAACUGUGGCAUUAGGUGAACUGUACC
Molecule: non-coding RNA, 867 nt
Organism: Triticum urartu
Lineage: Eukaryota; Viridiplantae; Streptophyta; Magnoliopsida; Poales; Poaceae
Source: RefSeq, a predicted model, not a curated record